CGGACGGGUGAGUAAUGUCUGGGAAACUGCCUGGUGGAGGGGGAUAACUACUGGAAACGGUAGCUAAUACCGCAUAACGUCGCAAGACCAAAGAGGGGGACCUUCGGGCCUCUUGCCAUCGGAUGUGCCCAGAUGGGAUUAGCUAGUAGGUGGGGUAACGGCUCACCUAGGCGACGAUCCCUAGCUGGUCUGAGAGGAUGGCCAGCCACACUGGAACUGAGACACGGUCCAG
Molecule: ribosomal RNA, 232 nt
Filed under: uncultured bacterium
Lineage: Bacteria
Description: partial 16S ribosomal RNA
Rfam family: Bacterial small subunit ribosomal RNA
Source: RNAcentral